This 4432-nucleotide long non-coding RNA is filed under the name Solanum tuberosum (potato). RNAcentral's name for it is "long non-coding RNA (STUB_LNC010497)". The record is from RNAcentral. Lineage: Eukaryota; Viridiplantae; Streptophyta; Magnoliopsida; Solanales; Solanaceae.
CAAUAGAAACUCAGAGGAAAACCAUCACUAAUUUUGGCAUAUCGAAUGUCAAGACCGCAUUUCUGUCCGUGGGAGAAAGGGUUGUCGUCAUCUUUAAGUGACUGAGCUUUAGCUAUCUGCUGGUGAGUUGAUUCUGUGUUGACAAAGGUGAUGGUAAAACCUUUUGAGGCGAGCUUCAUGGCGAGAUGUGUGAAUGGAGUUAUAUGGCCUUGAAGAGGAAGUGGUACGAGUACUGCAUGUGGCUGUAGGUGCUCCAUUUAGUCCUAAAAUAUAGGAGAUGGUUGCCUUUUUUGAGAAAGGUAAGUAUAUUAUUGUUGAUAUAGCACCAAGGAAGUGCAGGGUAAAAAGUAUAUAGGAGUUAGUUGCCUUGUGUGUUUAUGUAAGAGCUUGGAAGGAGAUGGUGGCUUUAUGUUCUUUGAUGCAGAAAUGUUUAUUGUCUAAGUUGGUGUCUGGCUGUCCUUAUAGCUGCAUUUAUUUGAAUUUGGAGCCUUUCAUAUGUCAUCCCUUAGGUAUUUAAAGAUAAUGAGAUAGACAUGUCUUUUGUUUGGAGUGAAUCCCGGCUUGUGGCUUGCAGUUGUUUAUUUGUAAACACCGGAUUGUGUCCUGUAUUCAUUUGUUUGAUGUAAAUACUCGUUGGGGUAACUUUUUUCAGUUAAUCUAUUCUUAAAGAAAUUGAACUUGUUAGUGGUUGUGUCAUCAUAGACAUAGAGAAGUGUGCCUUUCCAAUAAUUGCAUUUGCAUAAUUGAUUAAUUGUAUUGGUGUGGUCCCUUUCUUUCAAAUUCAAACGUUUGUUCUUCCUUUUCUUUAUGUUGGGCUAGGAAUAAUAUGUUAUGUGAACAGUAUAGUUUUGCUUGUAAUUUCUUUUACCUAAGUCAGAGUAAGAAAAAUUAUCUACCUUUACCCAUCUACAAAAUUUGCCCUCAAGAAAUUACACAACAUAGUUUUUUUUAAGUAAAUCUUAUCUCUACCUCGUAAGAGGUAGAAAGAUUCUUUCCGAAAUAAAUAAGAAAUAAUAAUCUUGGAAAAAUGCACUGGGGAAAGAGAUAGUGACUUAUUUGUUUUCAAAAAAAGAGAGAAGAUGAUGGAUUUGAAGGAUUACCAAAUCCAACACUAAAAAAUGAUUUAAAUAUCUUAGGGGAAAAGAAGACAAUAAAAACAUUGAUGUGGGCAAUUAUAAAAGUCCACACAACAAAACAUUUGCUACAGACAAAAUCGGAUAUGAACGAUUCUAAUAAGAUUUCAUUUUUAAACAAAAAGUCAUUUUUGAUUUAUUCAUAAUUUUGCUUUGCUAUCCCAUCUAGUGGUGUAGGAUUACUAACACCAUUUUCCAAGCUUAGAUCUGACAAUUAGAGCAUAAACAAGAUAUUAUGGGAACUCAAUAUUGAACGAAAGAACAAUUGAAUUCAUAUCAACACUAAUCCACUCGAACCAUCAAAAACUUUAAAAGUUAAGCACACUUAGGCGAGAAUAGUACUAGUAGUAUUAGGAGGGUGACCCUCUAGGAAAUUUCGUGUUGCUUGUUAAGUUAUAUGAUGUGCCUCCCUAUAUGGUCAUCGACAAUUCUCACCUUCUGAGAUAGCUUUGAAUAUUGAUUUAAACCCAAUUAUUUUUUUCCAUAGUAUCAAAGCAGAUAAAUAUCCUGAAUUCAAAUCUCAUCACCACUAAUCAUCUAGUUCAUGAAAAAAAAAAAAACAAGCUCGCACUUGCUAAACAUUGUCAAUGUAUCUUUUUCGUAAUUUGUGUCUUUUGAAUGAUGGAAUUUGCUUAGUUUUUCUCCUAGUAUCUGAACCUGAGGAGUGUGAAACUCAGGUCUUUAUGAUAUGACCAUGCUUUGAUUUUAGCUAGAGCAAAGAGUAGGAUAGAGGGAGUACAUGUGUUCUGAUAGAACAAGGUCUUACUUCUUUUGCUCGGAUAGUGUAAGAUAUAUCUUCACGACACAUAAUUCACUGGGGUAUUACUUCCCUUGGCUAUUUUCUGGAAUUAUAGACACAAGUUGUGGUUCCAUUACCAAUAAAGUUUAACAUAUUUGUAUCCAGUCCGUGAAUGAUGGAAUGGGAAGAUCACACGAAGAGUGUGGAUUCAUGGAAAGUUCUUGUAAGUUCACGACACUUUGGUUUUGAUGGGAGAAAGUGAACUUGUAAGCAGGCACAUUAAUGUUUCAUGAGCUUAAGAACUUUAAAAAGAGAUAAACAUAAGUUAUUUUUAACCCUUAAAAAUAAGAAUGUCAAUCCCUGAGAUCCUAUUGAAAAAUGAAAAAUUCUGUCCUUUUCCAAGUAGGAAGGCAGAGAUGUCUCGUGAAAUAUACGAAAUGGUGCUGAAGUUGUAUAAUGAGAUGUAAGGAAAGGAUGAAGAAAAUUCACAAGAUGGUGAUAUUCUUUGUUAUCUUAAGCUUGAGGAUGUUCUAAGGCCAGGUCACACUAUGAAGGUGCAACUUGUUUUGAGAAGCUUCCCAAGGGCGAAAUAUCGUUGUUCCUGUAGUGUAAUAGAAUUUAAUUGUGAAAAGUAAGUCGAUAUGAAGGCUGGAAGUAAAGGAUGUGUGUUGUCAAAUAAACUUUUCACCUUGUCAUUGUCAGAGAUUCUGGUUGUGAGGAGGAUUCAUAUAACUCAUCGCAACUUGUUUUGGACUGAGACGUAGUUGCUGUUGUCAUUAUCAGACGUAGAUAUUUUACUUGAGUAUACAAAACAACUAUACUGACAUGCUAUAUAGACGUAGAUCUCUUGCAAUUAUGCCAUGCCUUUAUUCAACUAGUUCAAAUGGAACAGGGUAAAUUGCGAGGAUUCAUAUAGCUGACCAGACUAGUAUAAGGCAUAAUAAUAGUAAUUGUAUGUUAUGCCAUUAUUCACUCCGAAACAUUAUAGAACUAAUACCUCACUUGCUAAGCUACUCCAUGAAAAUACAUCACUUGCUAUUCUUUUGGCUUAACAGAACCGUAAUAGGUAAGUGAGAAUGUGAUAAGAAGCUCAAUUUUUCUGAAGAAUCUUGUUCUUCAUGUCUUGUAUGAAUUGGUUGAGAUUCUUCUCUGAAGAUCCCUCAUCAGAAAGUGCAUUUUGAAGUAUCAUCUUUGUUUUAUCGAUAUUCUCCCUCGAUUCAUCUGAGUUAUUCAUUAUCUUUCCAAUAUUCUCCGCUACUACCUCCCUCCUGAUCAAUCCUCUAGUGCAAAGAUUCACACCGAUCCUCCAAUCAUCAACCACUAAUUUCCUGUUAGUAAGUUGAUCCCCCGAAACAGGAAAGCACACCAUUGGAACUUUACACCAUAUACUCUCCAAGAUUGAAUUCCACCCACAGUGAGUCAGAAACCCUCUGACUGAUGGAUGUGAUAGUAUUGCUAGUUGAGAGCACCAUGGCACAACCAAUCCUCUCCCUGCUGUUUCUUCCUCAAAUCCGAGAGGCAAAAUGUUUCUUUCUCCGGAUACUAAGAUAUUGUGACGUAGCACCCAAAUGAAACUCACUUUACUUAUCAGAAUGCCUUGUGCUAUUUCCAGAAUAUCCUGUUUACUUAAAUUAGCAAGACUACCAAAUGAGAUGUAUAACACUGUACCAUCUUGUUUGGUAUUGAGCCAGUUGGUGUAAUCUGUUGCCGGUAGCAGGUUCGUUGAAAUUGUUUUCUUGGUAAAGUUUGUGGGACAGAUUGGCCCAAUUGCAUAGAAUGGUUGCUGCUCUUGUAAGGCCAAGAUGGUUGAAGACUCUAGCUCUUGCACUGUAUUACCAAUGACAAUGUCCGCUUUCUGUGCAUCUUCAAUACACUUGAACACGUAUUUAGUCUCGUUUGGAUCAGCAUCUUGACAAUAUGAAGGUAAAUCCUCUGGUUUAAUGGCUUGAAUUCCUGGUAUGUAGCUAAUGGUGUCAUCGUACUUAUCUGGACAAAAAUGAUAACUCAUUAGCUAAUUGGUUAUGUAUAAUGUAGUCAGAAAUUAGACUGUAAUAGUUUCUAGAUAAAAGGUUCAUACCAUGUCGCCCAAAGUGGCCAUUUCUCUUGAGCAGGUCGGUGUUAUAGAAGACUGUAAGCACUGUUGCUGGUUCAGUCCAAAAUGAGACAUUGACGAGAUUAUAUUUCCUUGCAAUCGUUGAUCCCCAUACGUGGAAACUGUCAGUUAUUAUACAAGAAACUGGUGGAUUUGGUUUCGAGAGGACUAGAUUUUCAAUGAAAUCAUCAACAUGAGCUUGGAAAACAUGAGUGAGACCUAUCAUGAACUGGCUCGCGUUGGCUCUCCUGUCAAAACUCAGUGGAAAACCAUCGCUGAUUCUAGCAUAACGAAUGUCAAGACCAGAUUCCUCUGCAUGGGAGAAAGGGUUGUCGUCAUCUUUAAGUGACUGAGCUUUAGCUAUCCGCUGGUGAGUUGAUUCUGUGUUGACAAAGGUGAUGGUAAAACCUUUUGAGGCAAGUUUCAUGGCAAGAUGUGUGAAGGGAUUUAUAUGGCCUUGAAGAGGAA